AGGAACCGGAUCGUGUUGACCGACUUGUCCACCAGCGACUCAUCAGUGGUCACCUUCUUCGCAGUCUCCGCCGCAACGGAGGCUUUGACGGCGGCGGGAAGGCGGCGGUGAGUGGUUGGAGUGUGGGAGAGGGAGAGGGAGAGGGUGGUGGAUUGGCGGAGGCCGGAGAAGGCGGGGAGGGAGAGGCGCGUGGAGGAGGGGAGGGAAGAGGGGCGCGUGAGGAGGGCUUGGGAGAGAGAGAGGGAGGGGGAGGUUGAGGUAGAAGCCAUGGUUGGUGAAGUGAGAGAGAGAGUGAGAAGAAGAAGAAGAAGAAG
This 314-nucleotide long non-coding RNA is filed under the name Lotus japonicus. RNAcentral's name for it is "long non-coding RNA (LJAP_LNC001667)". The record is from RNAcentral. Lineage: Eukaryota; Viridiplantae; Streptophyta; Magnoliopsida; Fabales; Fabaceae.